AGUGAACGCUGGCGGUAGGCCUAACACAUGCAAGUCGAACGGCAGCACAGUAAGAGCUUGCUCUUACGGGUGGCGAGUGGCGGACGGGUGAGGAAUACAUCGGAUUCUACUUUUUCGUGGGGGAUAACGUAGGGAAACUUACGCUAAUACCGCAUGCGACCUACGGGUGAAAGCAGGGGAUCUUCGGACCUUGCGCGAUUGAAUGAGCCGAUGUCGGAUUAGCUAGUUGGCGGGGUAAAGGCCCACCAAGGCGACGAUCCGUAGCUGGUCUGAGAGGAUGAUCAGCCACACUGGAACUGAGACACGGUCCAGACUCCUACGGGAGGCAGCAGUGGGGAAUAUUGGACAAUGGGCGCAAGCCUGAUCCAGCCAUACCGCGUGGGUGAAGAAGGCCUUCGGGUUGUAAAGCCCUUUUGUUGGGAAAGAAAAGCAGCAGGUUAAUACCCCGCUGUUCUGACGGUACCCAAAGAAUAAGCACCGGCUAACUUCGUG
This 492-nucleotide ribosomal RNA is filed under the name uncultured bacterium. Its description in RNAcentral is "partial 16S ribosomal RNA". It matches the Rfam family "Bacterial small subunit ribosomal RNA", at positions 29 to 507 of the family's 1533-position model. The record is from RNAcentral.